GACGAACGCUGGCGGCGUGCUUAACACAUGCAAGUCGAACGGAAAGGCCCUGCUUUUGUGGGGUGCUCGAGUGGCGAACGGGUGAGUAACACGUGAGUAACCUGCCCUUGACUUUGGGAUAACUUCAGGAAACUGGGGCUAAUACCGGAUAGGAGCUCCUGCUGCAUGGUGGGGGUUGGAAAGUUUCGGCGGUUGGGGAUGGACUCGCGGCUUAUCAGCUUGUUGGUGGGGUAGUGGCUUACCAAGGCUUUGACGGGUAGCCGGCCUGAGAGGGUGACCGGCCCCUUGGGGCCUGGAGACCGGCCCAACCCCCUAGGGGGGGAAGCGGGGGGGAAUUUUGCACAAGGGGCGGAGGCCUGAUGCGGAAACGCCGCGGGGGGGAUGCCGGCUUUGGGGUUGUAAACCGCUUUCGCCUGUGACGAAGCGUGAGUGGCGGUAAUGGGUAAAGAAGCACCGGCUAACUACGU
This 467-nucleotide ribosomal RNA is filed under the name uncultured bacterium. Its description in RNAcentral is "partial 16S ribosomal RNA". It matches the Rfam family "Bacterial small subunit ribosomal RNA", at positions 28 to 506 of the family's 1533-position model. The record is from RNAcentral.